Molecule: ribosomal RNA, 253 nt
Filed under: uncultured bacterium
Lineage: Bacteria
Description: partial 16S ribosomal RNA
Rfam family: Bacterial small subunit ribosomal RNA
Source: RNAcentral
GACAGAGGGUGCAAACGUUGUUCGGAAUUACUGGGCGUAAAGCGAGUGUAGGCGGCUUGGUAAGUCGGAUGUGAAAGCCCCGGGCUCAACCCGGGAAGUGCACUCGAUACUGCCAAGCUAGAGUAUCGGAGAGGUUGGUGGAAUUCUCGGUGUAGAGGUGAAAUUCGUAGAUAUCGAGAGGAACACCGGUGGCGAAGGCGGCCAACUGGACGAAUACUGACGCUGAGACUCGAAAGCGUGGGGAGCAAACAGG